AGGCAGCCCCGAAGCCGCGCCGCGCAGUGCUGCGCUGUGCCGCGCUACGCCUGGGGAUCCCGGGCACCCGAGGAAACCCCACUCCCGCAGGCCGGCGUGAGCUCGCUCCACGGCUGCCGAGGGAAGCCGGGAUGCCCCGAGGCCCCCUUUCCUGCGCAGGCUGGGAGGCGGGGCCUAGCGGAGGGUGCGGCCGCCCGCAGAGCCCUGGACGGCUCGCGGUUCCCCGGGAUGCGGCGCUCCCAACUGGUGGGAGCCGCCGGCUGGAGCGGUGCCUCUGUCCCCGGGAAAGCAGAGAGCUUGGCCUACGCCAAGUUAGACUUCUCCGGCCCAGUGCUCAGUUUCCUCUCCUGGAGGUGCGAAGGGUGCCUGGGACUCGGUUUUCCCGGCUCCUAGAGACACGCUAGGCUGACCGCUCCCCAGAGAUGGGUCUGGACGACCCAAGUGACCUCCGCUGUAGCCGGGGAAGCAAAAGGUCGGGGAUGUCUUUGCUCCUUUUAUGAAAAGACAGGAGACACUGCAAAAGAUGAGCACGGCGCUAGGGAUGAAUCAGGACCCUAGUUUACACUGGUUUCUUAGCUGCUGCACCCGAAUUACUGGGAAAGAAGCUAAUUCAUAGCAAUUUCUUUUAAAAAUCAACUCCGACAGCAAACAGAAGGCAAUAAAUGAACCUAUACUCUUUAGCUCC
Molecule: long non-coding RNA, 685 nt
Filed under: Mus pahari (shrew mouse)
Lineage: Eukaryota; Metazoa; Chordata; Mammalia; Rodentia; Muridae
Description: predicted gene 7467 (MGP_PahariEiJ_G0002476.1)
Source: RNAcentral